AGCGGACACAGGGCCCUGGCCUGCGCUGCCGGCUGCAGCGAUUGGCGGCGCGGGCCCGAAAGCGGUCGGUCCGUGAGAAUGCCCUAAAACGAGCGGCUUCCUCACCGGCUCCGUGUAGUGCCAGCGAAGCGAGGGCAGGAGCCCGAUAGUGCGGGGAGAGGCGGGGGCAGCGGGCAGGGGGCACUGGCGGGGACUGGGCAGCCCCGGGUGCGGCCAGGACCCGGCCCGCAGCGGCGGGGCGAAGCAGGAGCUGGCAGUGAGGGAAACGGAGGAGAAUCACAGAAUGGUUUGGCUUAGAAGGGACCUUUAAGAUGAUCUAGUUCCAGCCCCCCUCUGUUAAAAACGGGACCAGACUCCUGGUACUAAAAGCGAUCUCAGCAUUUAUUAUAAGAAAAAGAACGGCCUAAAGCAAGGGGCUUGCGGGCCGAGCCGGGGCGGUCGCUGGAUGCUGCAGCGCCGGCGCUGGGUCUUCAGCAGCGAGGUCCCCGGUGUUCCAGGUGGAGCAGCACGGCUUCCCUGGGUCGGAUGCCCCUUUUUAACCUGUUUUUUGUCCCUUUGGAUUGGUUUCUUUUUGGAUGCUUCAUUUGCGAGAAGGUUUUAGGCGGUUGGUUGGCCCUUUAGAGUUUUGUCCAGGUUGGCUCAUUUUGCCUGGGGAGUGCUGCACUUCACUUAGGUGUAUUAUGGUAUGUUGCAUACCGUAUUUCUUAUAAUUACCCUUUUAACCCCUUUUACAAUAUAACAACCAAACUAACAGUACAUGCUUAACGAUUAUCAGCUAUUUUACAACAGUUUCUAAUUGUUAGAAGGCAAUUACCUAAAUUUAGGUAAUUGCCUUUCUAACCUAUUUUUAACACCCCUGCCACGGGCAAAGACAAUUUCCCCUAAGUUGCUCAGAGUUCCAUCCAACUUGGCCUUGAACACUUUCCUGGUGGAGCAUUCAUAGCUUCUCUGGGAAACCUGUGGUAGUGUUUCAUUACCUUCACAGUUAAGAAUUUCUCCCUAUUAUCUAGUCUAAACCCACUCUUUCUCAAUUUGAAGCCAUUCCCACCAUUGGGAUGCCCCACAUUGGCAGGUGUAAAAAGUCCCUCUCCAGCAUUCUUGUAGCCCCCUUUGGGUACUGGAAGGUGCUGGAAGGCAUCCUUGGAGUCUUCAUUUGAACAAUCCCAAUUCUUUCAGACUGUCUUUAUAGAAGGGGUGCUCCAGCCUUCAUGACCCUCCUGUGCCCUUGCUCCAACAUAAUUUCUGUGCUGGCAGCACUUUGGAUGGGAAGUCUUGUAACAGUGGAGUAGAGGGGCAGAAUCACCUCCUUCGUAAUGGUAAUGGUCACACUUUAAUCAACUUUAUGAUGUUUCCACUAAAGGUUUUGCUCAUAAAAGGAAGCAAAGUUUGAGGUGUGACAUCUGUAGGUAAUUUUUUUCCCCCUACAGGUGAGUAGGGUCAGUGCAAGGAAAGCAGGAGGGUGGUGUGUCAUGUCUGUCCUUGCUGGGUGUCACAUGCUGCUGCUUGUGCAACACGUGUGUGUGCUGGUGGUGUAGCUGCUGCUGCUUAGAAAGGUGCAGAGACACGGUGUCAUUUUCCAGUCAUGGCUUUGGACUCCAGCACUCUGGGCUUGCCAUGGCCCUUGCUCCUGAGGGCACAAAACUAGAAAGGGGUCUAGGUGUAAAGUAGUCUGAAAUAAACCCGUGCAAAAUCAGCAGGGUUUUGCAACAUAUAGGUCUCUCUACUUAGCUUGGAGACAGGAGAGUGAGAACACUGGAUAGUGUCACUACAAGAUGUGAAACAACAUGACGUGGACUUGCUGUUCUUUCCAAGGUGUUAAAAAGCGCAAACAACAAGCAGGACAAAAAAGCCGAAAGCAACUUGAUUUAAGAAGAACAGGGAGAUUAGUGCUUCUUGCGGCUUGGGGACGACAGAACUGGCAAGCGGCGCUGUCAAAAUAGACUACGAUGUGACGGUGGGAAUUUUGUCCUGACGAAUUGGAAUGGCUGCCCAUGAGAAAAUCGCAUAAGACCGGAAAAUGGAGAAGUGUGAGAUCAGCCAUUUUAAACAUUAGAAGCAAAUUGUUUCUUCCGAGGGCUGCCUUCCCCAGGAAAAAUGCUGACUUUGGCAGCACCUUUAUGUUUGCAGAGCACCCUGUGUGCAGCAAGCCAUUGCUGCUGUGCAGCGGUCAAUGAGAUCAGGACGAUCUCAGCAGUACAGAACAGUUUGAUUCUAGGAUGUGGAGAUCCACUGACGCAAUUAUUGCAGAGAUCAGAAAUAUCUGGUUUACCUGUGGGAAGCUAAAACUGCUAGGAGUGUGUUGGCUGUGGCUCUGCAGGCUUUUAGUGGGAGAGAAGUGAAGUUAGUAUUUCUUUUGCAGAUUACUUGAGUGAUUCCCUGACUUCUGUCUGUCUUUACUGUAACCUCUUGGGAAAGUAACAUUUCUAUUCUUCCUUUGUGUUGAGCCUUUUUCAGUGGGACCCUGAUCUUGCUGGACCUAAUCAGAGCUGCUGCAAAAUUAGAAUACUGCCAUUUGUUCCUCUCCCACUCUAAGGCAACUGCAUAGUAAAACUCUCUAUCUUUUUCCAGAGUUUUAAAACUCAAUUCAUUCCUUAAAUGCAAGAGGGCUUAGGGAAGAGUGAAGAUUGAUUCUCAAAGUUACAAAUCCUGCUGCCUUUCCAAAUAAAAUUAAACAGCAUCCUAGUCUCACCUGUAUGCUUGCUGACCAUCUCAGCAUCCUAGUCUCACCUGUAUGCUUGCUGACCAUCUCAGCAUUAGGAAGACAUCCUAAUGUGCUUUCUGCUGCUGUUUUGUUAUUACACACACACAUACCCUUUUCUCUUUUUUUUUCAUAAUAGCUAGCUCCUUAUGCUUCAGAGACUGUCAGAUGAGAAUAACAGGACAUCCAUGAUAUUCAUAAUAUUUGUAGCAGCUGUCAAAUGAUACUGUCUUAGAGUGGAAGAUAUGUAGUUCUGCAGAGUGACAGCUGUGGCUUGUAUAUAUUUAAAGCAGCCCUCUCUGUCUGAAGGGUGGUGGCACCCAGACAUAUAGCAGUCUUACUCUGAUUGACAACAUUUUUUAUUCUCCUUUCUUGUUUUGUUUUUUUUUUUGAUUGUACAAACACUGUCAUCAUUGCUUCAUCAUUGCCUUUUUAUCCAAUCAAGCAAAGAGGAGAGCACAGUAUCUAGAACAACACUUUUCUAGAUGUUCUAAGAAGUACUACAGAAAAAUUGACUUUCACACUAAUGUAUUCCUCAAAAGCAGUUGCUUGUUCCAGAAUGUGUUCCUUUGAUAAGAUGUCUAAUACAGUGAGAUGUUUGCCUUAGAUAUUCAUCAGACAUUCCUGUGCUUCAAAAAGAAAAAAGAGAAAAGAAAAGAGGACUGAUAUUUUUGGGAUCACUUUGUCCAUGCUAUAGAAGCUGAAAUUGGAUGGAGCAAAGAUCAAUAACGUAUCCAGUUAAUACACUAACUAAAUGAAAUGAAUCAUAAGAAAUGAAAUGACUUCUCCUGACAAUCUUGAGAUAAAUGCUGUUCCAUAAUACCUCAGUCUUGUCAAUUUGAAUUUAUAUUACUGGCAAACAGUUGCUGGUGUGUGGUCUCUAUUGUGUAAAUCUCCCAGGAAGCAGGUACUCACUAUUAUUUGUGACUUAUGUUAUUCCUGGGGCUCAACCUUUGUUAUCCAUUUUCAUUUAGUGAAGGCAAAGAGUGUUUUUCUCUCCUGGCCUUGCACGUUCCUCUGUUCCUAGCAAGGUCACACGUUAGUCUGGUGCAAGUGUGGCAUGGAAAAAGGAAUGAUCCUAAAGGCAAAAUGAGAUGAUAAAAAAGUGGAGUUUUUGCUUCAUUCUUUUCAUUGCCUGGAGAAAAUGUGCUUCUCAGGCAUGGUGACAACUGGUCCUAGAGAUGUGCUGCUUCUUUCUGUAUUUUGAAGUUUGUCUGUUCAACAUGAAAUAAUUUGCUAGGUUUGUAUCUCGUUGCCUUCAAACUGAUGAAGAUACAUUUUUGUUGUUAAUUCUUGAUUAAAAUUUGGCCUUUUGUCAUGAGGGUAAGUUGGGAAUGUAUCUAUUAAAUUUUAAUUUCUGAGCCUUGCUUUAUAAACAUAAAA
This is a long non-coding RNA of Zonotrichia albicollis (white-throated sparrow), 4081 nucleotides long. RefSeq lists it as uncharacterized. NCBI's taxonomy places the organism in Eukaryota, Metazoa, Chordata, Aves, Passeriformes, Passerellidae. The record is from RefSeq and is a predicted model, not a curated record.